This 253-nucleotide ribosomal RNA is filed under the name uncultured bacterium. RNAcentral describes it as "partial 16S ribosomal RNA". It matches the Rfam family "Bacterial small subunit ribosomal RNA", at positions 524 to 776 of the family's 1533-position model. The record is from RNAcentral.
UACGUAGGUGGCAAGCGUUGUCCGGAUUUACUGGGCGUAAAGAGCGCGCAGGCGGUCGUUCAAGUCGCGUGUGAAAGCCCCCGGCUCAACUGGGGAGGGUCACGCGAUACUGAUCGACUGGAAGGCAGGAGAGGGUAGUGGAAUUCCCGGUGUAGUGGUGAAAUGCGCAGAUAUCAGGAAGAACACCCGUGGCGAAGGCGGCUCUCUGGGACGGUACUGACGCUGAGACGCGAAAGCGUGGGGAGCGAACAGG